GUCCUUUUGAUUUUUAUUUAAGGUCUGACCUGCCCACUGAUUUAUUUAAUGGCCGCGGUAUUUUGACCGUGCAAAGGUAGCAUAAUAAUUUGUCUUUUAAUUGAAGGCUUGUAUGAAUGGUUGGACGAGAAAGCAACUUUCUUUAUAAUAAAAUGAUUAAUUUUAUUUUUUAGUUAAAAAGCUAAAAUGUUGUUGUAGGACGAGAAGACCCUAUAGAACUUUAUAAUUAUUUAUAUAUUAAUAUUUUUAGUUAAUAAUAUAUUGUAUUUUUAUAAUUAUUUUGUUGGGGCGACAAGAAAAUUUAUUUAACUUUUUUUCACCAAUUUCAUUAAUUAAUGUAUAAAUGAUCCUUUAUUAAAGAUAAUUAGAAUAAGUUACCUUAGGGAUAACAGCGUAAUUUUUUUGGAGAGUUCUUAUCGAUAAAAAAGUUUGCGA
This 435-nucleotide ribosomal RNA is filed under the name Paracorixa concinna. Its description in RNAcentral is "partial large subunit ribosomal RNA". It matches the Rfam family "Archaeal large subunit ribosomal RNA", at positions 1921 to 2592 of the family's 2987-position model. Lineage: Eukaryota; Metazoa; Arthropoda; Insecta; Hemiptera; Corixidae. The record is from RNAcentral.